AUAUGUGUUCAUGAUGUGAUUUAUGUGGUUUCAGGACCAGACUUGGACCGUGGUAAAGGAAAGGUACCGUGAAGUCUCAGGCCAUGGGAAGAUAUGUGGUGAAUGGGUCCUUGUUGAUAAGCGUGUAGUAUUGAUAGCCUAUUGUGCAACUUGUGAACUUAUGAUAGACUAAGUGUGUAAACUAGUAGAUGAACUUAUGAAUGAUGUAUGGAUCUCAUUAUGUUAUAUAUAUACAAUCUGUUUGCCCCUUAUGUUUGUUUGUCUUGAAUGUUAUUCUCGAACCUCACCUAAAGGAACUUGAACUUAACACCUAAAGGACCUUAAAAGACCGGAAUCAUUGUAUAAGAACGGAUGUUAAGGCCGCGGUUCAUGGUUGG
RNAcentral lists this long non-coding RNA (377 nucleotides) under Brassica napus (rape). RNAcentral describes it as "long non-coding RNA (BNAP_LNC002746)". The record is from RNAcentral. Lineage: Eukaryota; Viridiplantae; Streptophyta; Magnoliopsida; Brassicales; Brassicaceae.